RNAcentral lists this transfer RNA (62 nucleotides) under Culex quinquefasciatus (southern house mosquito). It matches the Rfam family "tRNA". Rfam says of the family: Transfer RNA (tRNA) molecules are approximately 80 nucleotides in length. Their secondary structure includes four short double-helical elements and three loops (D, anti-codon, and T loops). The record is from Rfam by way of RNAcentral. Lineage: Eukaryota; Metazoa; Arthropoda; Insecta; Diptera; Culicidae.
GGAUCAUAAAUGAUGUCCGCUUAGUAAGCGGAAGAUCAUGGGUUCGAUUCCCAUCUGCUCCA